Long non-coding RNA from Cydia pomonella (codling moth), 1071 nucleotides. RefSeq lists it as uncharacterized. The transcript is spliced from 2 exons. The record is from RefSeq and is a predicted model, not a curated record. Lineage: Eukaryota; Metazoa; Arthropoda; Insecta; Lepidoptera; Tortricidae.
UAUAAAAUUAUACAAUCAUGAUAAUAGAUUAUCAAUUUCGAUAGUUGAUCGAUGUUUUUGUAUAUAACUAGUUUUAUUAUUGUAUUUUGAAUAGUUUUGUCUAGUUUGUCCAUUAACAAUGUUUCGUAGAAAGAUUUUUUCUAUUUUCCUUAACGCUGUGGUAAUUCAGAAUUGUGUCUCCCAAAUACUACCCAUCAACAGUGGCUGCGCCUGCCAGCAAAUGCCAGUGCAGCAAAACCUGCCAGUUCCCGUCCAGGUUUCCAACAACUGUGGCUGCAGAAACAAUCUACUAAAUCUACCUAAUGGCAUCCAAAUCAACAACAAUCUACAACUUGCCAAAAACCCAUGCGUAAACAACUUACAAUUGGCAAACAUGCAAAAUUUACUGGCAAUCAGCAACGGACUUCAAGUCGCUAAUGGAUUACAACUGGCAAAUCCAUUGUCUCAAGAUUUAUUGGCACUUUUGAACACUGUGCCAGUUUCCAAUUGCCAAAACAUGCUGCAAGUAAGCUUGCAAGCGCUAUUGAAUCAGCUUAGCCAGCAACCGAAUUGCCAAUGCGGUUGCCAGUCACUGACAUCGAAUAUAGGUAAUAGUCUAAUUAAUGGUAACAUGAAUUUAUUAGGUGUAAAUGGCAUGCAAAAAGCUAUUAGUAACUUACCGUGCCAGUCGGUUGCUAAUCUGCAAGUAGUGACAGGCCAGCAAGAGGUUGUAUUAGGAGGUAAUCCUUGCCAAGCUUGCCAAAAUAUUGUUAGUAACCCGUGCCAAGCUUGCCAAAAUAUUGUUAGUAACCCGUGCCAAACUUGCCAAAAUGUUAUCAACCCCUGUCCGUGCCAAAGUUGCCAAAAUAUUGUAAGUAACCCGUGCGCUUGCCAAAAUAUUAUAAAUAGCCCAUGCCAAGCCAGCCAGAAUGUUAUAAGUAACCCGUGUCCAUGCCAAUCGUGCCAAAGUCCUGUGCAAUUCACUAUUUAUCAAUAAUAUUGUAUUUUUAUGUCUCUACCAUACAUGAUCGAUUAUUAUAUUUAUUAAUAGGUUAAGAUUUAAAUUAAAUAAAUUAUUGAUUAAGUUGUUCA